UACGAAGGGGGCUAGCGUUGUUCGGAAUCACUGGGCGUAAAGGGUGCGCAGGCGGGUUCAUAAGUCGGGGGUGAAAGCCCGAGGCUCAACCUCGGAACUGCAUUUGAUACUGUGGGUCUUGAGUACGGAAGAGGUGAGUGGAACUGCGAGUGUAGAGGUGAAAUUCGUAGAUAUUGGCAAGAACACCGGUGGCGAAGGCGGCUCCCUGGUCCGGAACUGACGCUGAGGCACGACAGCGUGGGGAGCAAACAGG
RNAcentral lists this ribosomal RNA (253 nucleotides) under uncultured bacterium. RNAcentral describes it as "partial 16S ribosomal RNA". It matches the Rfam family "Bacterial small subunit ribosomal RNA", at positions 524 to 776 of the family's 1533-position model. The record is from RNAcentral.